CCUACGGGAGGCAGCAGUGAGGAAUAUUGGUCAAUGGGCGCUAGCCUGAACCAGCCAAGUAGCGUGAAGGAUGACUGCCCUACGGGUCGUAAACUUCUUUUAUAAAGGAAUAAAGUGAGGUACGUGUGCCGUUUUGUAUGUACUUUAUGAAUAAGGAUCGGCUAACUCCGUGCCAGCAGCCGCGGUAAUACGGAGGAUCCGAGCGUUAUCCGGAUUUAUUGGGUUUAAAGGGAGCGUAGAUGGGCUGUUAAGUCAGUUGUGAAAGUUUGCGGCUCAACCGUAAAAUUGCAAUUGAUACUGGCAGUCUUGAGUACAGUAGAGGUAGGCGGAAUUCGUGGUGUAGCGGUGAAAUGCUUAGAUAUCACGAAGAACUCCGAUUGCGAAGGCAGCUUACUAAACUGCCACUGACAUUGAUGCUCGAAAGUGUGGGUAUCAAACAGGAUUAGAUACCCUUGUAGUC
RNAcentral lists this ribosomal RNA (460 nucleotides) under uncultured bacterium. RNAcentral describes it as "partial 16S ribosomal RNA". It matches the Rfam family "Bacterial small subunit ribosomal RNA", at positions 338 to 795 of the family's 1533-position model. The record is from RNAcentral.